Molecule: ribosomal RNA, 342 nt
Filed under: Clostridioides difficile
Lineage: Bacteria; Bacillati; Bacillota; Clostridia; Peptostreptococcales; Peptostreptococcaceae
Description: bacterial LSU rRNA
Rfam family: Bacterial large subunit ribosomal RNA
Source: RNAcentral
GAUGGGGAGCGAAAUUUAGUAGCGAAGUAGCUGAUUUCACACUGUCAAGAAAAGUCUCUAUCGAGGUUAAAGGUACCCGUACCGCAAACCGACACAGGUGGGUGAGGAGAGUAUCCUAAGGCCAGCGAGAGAACUGUUGUUAAGGAACUCGGCAAAAUGACCCCGUAACUUAGGGAUAAGGGGUGCCACCAUCCGGUGGCCGCAGAGAAUAGGCCCAAGCGACUGUUUACCAAAAACAUAGGUUUCUGCUAAGUCGCAAGACGAUGUAUAGGAGCUGACGCCUGCCCGGUGCUGGAAGGUUAAGGGGAUCUGUUAGAGCAAUCGAAGCAGUGAACUUAAGCC